Molecule: long non-coding RNA, 833 nt
Organism: Glossina fuscipes
Lineage: Eukaryota; Metazoa; Arthropoda; Insecta; Diptera; Glossinidae
Exons: 2
Source: RefSeq, a predicted model, not a curated record
UUAAAAUAAAAUAAGAGUAAAAAAUCACAUUUAUGCAAAUUUAUUGGAAAUUAUGAAUGGAUUUUUUAAGAUUUUCACUUGAUAGAUUCAUACACCAAAGAGAACACACACACGAAGGCAUGAAUUUGUUUUUUUUAAUUUUAUAUUUUAUUUUCUGUUGUGUGUUUUACAAGAAAAUUAAAAAAACACCAUCUUCUGGAAAAAAAAUUAAAAUUUUAUGUACUAUAUGACAAAAAUACACUAAAUCCUAUAAAAGAUAUUUAAUUUUUUUUAUUAAAACGCAAUUCGAAAGCAGGAAAAACUGAAAAAAAAAAAUUCACGGAACACACAAGUGACGGACGAUGAACAAGAAGAAGCAGCAACAGUAAAAUAACAGAAACAAUAACGUCGUUCGGGGUCGCGUUUCGUUUGCUUGGUGCCUGUAUCGCACGGGUUUUACACGUCGCGGUGAAGCCAAAAUCUACAACUGUCUACAUAGUGCGCUUCGCUCUUUGUUCGUUGCUCGCCAUCGCGUUGUUUUCGCUCUCAUAUAAAACGGCAAAAAACAAAAACAACAAAACCCGAUUACUAAUCACAUGCAAAAUUUACUGUAAAUGCGAAACAGAAAAACGAAUUGUGAGAGCAACGUUUUAACACAUAUACAAGACUGUUUAUAUACAAAGAACAACAGCGGCAACAAAAUAAACUCCAUUAUUAUUGAACAUAAUAAAUUAAUUGAACAACAAAACAAAAGUAAAAAAUACAAAGCAAAAAACAUUUGAAGCCAAGGAGAAAGAACAUAGAGACUUAAUUAUCCAAAAAGAAGAGAAUCACAUUUUACUGCUUACCACCAU